GAGAGCGGCGGCAGCGAGAGGCGAGCCAGCGGCGACGAAUGAAGAACUUUUUCACUUACUGCAGGAUUUUCAGCUUCAGCAAGCAGGCUUUGGUAUCAGGAUGAUGCUGGCCUCAUAAAAGGAGUUAAAGAGGAUUCCCUCUUUUUCUAUUGAUUGGAAUAGCUUCAGAAGGAAUGGUACCAGCUCCUCCUUGUACCUCUGGUAGAAUUUGGCUGUGAAUGCAUCUGGUCCUGGACUUUUUUUUGGUUCUCAUGGAGAACUGUUAUUGAAGAGAGAUCCAUUUGGUGGGAUAUAAUUAAAAAAAAUGAAUCAAAAGAAAAUCUCUAAAUGCAGAUUCCAGAAAAAUUACAGCACAUCUCAGUGAAUUUGCAAGUGUUUCUCUUCAGCCAUAAGCCACGCCUGGUAGAUAUUAAUUGAGUGGAGAGAUCUUGCACCUCUUCCAGUUAUGCAUUUGUGGUUUGUCGUCUGAUUUGGAGCACUUG
RNAcentral lists this long non-coding RNA (482 nucleotides) under Homo sapiens (human). Its description in RNAcentral is "non-protein coding lnc-CER1-1:1". Lineage: Eukaryota; Metazoa; Chordata; Mammalia; Primates; Hominidae. The record is from RNAcentral.